UAUCCUAAGAGAUUUUAAUCAAAAAACUUUGACGGUAUUAAUAUUUAUAAAGGAGUUUGUUUUUUAAUAGAUAACCCACAAUUUACCUUACUUAAAUUAUAUUUGUAUAUCACCGUAUAGAUUUUAUUUAAAAUUUCAUAAUGAAUAAUUUCAAAAUAUCAGGUCAUAACGCAGUUUUUUUAAGAUAAAAUGAACUACAGUAAUUUAUUAUAAACAGAUUAUUUUUUGAAAUAAAAAUAUGAAGAAGGAUUUAUUAGUAAAUAAAAAAUAAAUUAUUAUAUUGAAAAUUAUUAUUAAUAUGUACAUAUCGCCCCGUCAU
RNAcentral lists this ribosomal RNA (319 nucleotides) under Oroperipatus eisenii. Its description in RNAcentral is "partial small subunit ribosomal RNA". Lineage: Eukaryota; Metazoa; Onychophora; Udeonychophora; Euonychophora; Peripatidae. The record is from RNAcentral.